AAAAAGACAAACCCUGGGUCUCCGUGUCCAACGUUUGACUGUCCGUCUUAUAUAAAUUUUUUUUAUAAUUAGUAUUUUCAUUGUUGUUAGAUGAUAAAAUAUGAUUAAUAAUUUAUGCGUGACUUGACUUUUUAAUUUUUUUCAUAAAUUUUUCAAAUAAGACGGACGGUUAAAUGUUGGACACGAAAACCCAGGAUUUGUCUUUUU
Oryza barthii is the source of this 207-nucleotide non-coding RNA. NCBI's taxonomy places the organism in Eukaryota, Viridiplantae, Streptophyta, Magnoliopsida, Poales, Poaceae. The record is from Rfam.